Molecule: ribosomal RNA, 265 nt
Filed under: Listeria monocytogenes
Lineage: Bacteria; Bacillati; Bacillota; Bacilli; Caryophanales; Listeriaceae
Description: partial 16S ribosomal RNA
Rfam family: Bacterial small subunit ribosomal RNA
Source: RNAcentral
UUUAAAGAGAGUUUGAUCCUGGCUCAGGACGAACGCUGGCGGCGUGCCUAAUACAUGCAAGUCGAACGAACGGAGGAAGAGCUUGCUCUUCCAAUGUUAGUGGCGGACGGGUGAGUAACACGUGGGCAACCUGCCUGUAAGUUGGGGAUAACUCCGGGAAACCGGGGCUAAUACCGAAUGAUAAAGUGUGGCGCAUGCCACGCUUUUGAAAGAUGGUUUCGGCUAUCGCUUACAGAUGGGCCCGCGGUGCAUUAGCUAGUUGGUA